RNAcentral lists this ribosomal RNA (863 nucleotides) under uncultured bacterium. Its description in RNAcentral is "bacterial SSU rRNA". It matches the Rfam family "Bacterial small subunit ribosomal RNA", at positions 42 to 878 of the family's 1533-position model. The record is from RNAcentral.
GCAUGGAUUAGGCAUGCAAGUCGAACGCGAAAGAGGGGGCAACCCCUCUAGUAGAGUGGCGAACGGGUGAGUAACGCGUGAAGAACCUGCCUUCAACAGGGGGAUAACACUCCUAACGGGGUGCUAAUACCGCAUGAGACCACGGGUCUGCAUGGACCUGAGGUCAAAGGUGGCCUCUGCUUGCAAGCUACCGGUUGAAGAUGGCUUCGCGUCCCAUUAGCUAGUUGGCGGUGUAAAAGACCACCAAGGCGACGAUGGGUAGCUGGUCUGAGAGGAUGGUCAGCCACACUGGGACUGAGAUACGGCCCAGACUCCUACAGGAGGCAGCAGUCGAGAGGCUUCGGCAAUGGGGGAAACCCUGACCGAGCGACGCCGCGUGGAGGAUGAAGGCCCCUGGGUUGUAAACUCCUUUUGCUGGGGAAGAAACCCGAUCAGGUGAACAAUCUGGUCGUUUGACGGUACCCGGCGAAUAAGCUCCGGCUAACUCCGUGCCAGCAGCCGCGGUAACACGGGGGGAGCAAGCGUUGUUCGGAAUCACUGGGCGUAAAGGGCGUGUAGGCGGUCAGGUAAGUGGGAUGUGAAAUCCCUCGGCUCACCCGAGGACCUGUAUCCCAAACUGCUUGGCUUGAGUAUGGGAGAGGAUGAGGGAAUUCCUGGUGUAGCGGUGAAAUGCGUAGAUAUCAGGAGGAACACCGGUGGCGAAAGCGCUCAUCUGGCCCAAUACUGACGCUGAGGCGCGAAAGCUAGGGGAGCAAACGGGAUUAGAUACCCCGGUAGUCCUAGCCGUAAACGGUGAUCACUAGGUGUUGGAGGCAUCGACCCCUCCAGUGCCGCAGCUAACGCAUUAAGUGAUCCGCCUGGGG